GGGGCGUAGCUCAAUGGUAGAGUCCCAGUCUUCCAAACUGGUUGUGCGGGUUCGAUUCCCGUCGCCCC
This 68-nucleotide transfer RNA is filed under the name Microbacterium schleiferi. It matches the Rfam family "tRNA". From Rfam's summary of the family: Transfer RNA (tRNA) molecules are approximately 80 nucleotides in length. Their secondary structure includes four short double-helical elements and three loops (D, anti-codon, and T loops). Lineage: Bacteria; Bacillati; Actinomycetota; Actinomycetes; Micrococcales; Microbacteriaceae. RNAcentral also lists the same sequence under 1 other name. The record is from RNAcentral.